GCGGACAUGGCGGAAUUGGCAGACGCGCUAGAUUCAGGUUCUAGUGGGCUUACGCUCGUGGAGGUUCAAGUCCUCUUGUCCGCACCA
RNAcentral lists this transfer RNA (87 nucleotides) under Clostridiales bacterium. RNAcentral describes it as "tRNA-Leu". It matches the Rfam family "tRNA". Rfam says of the family: Transfer RNA (tRNA) molecules are approximately 80 nucleotides in length. The record is from RNAcentral. Lineage: Bacteria; Bacillati; Bacillota; Clostridia; Eubacteriales.